UACGGAGGAUGCGAGCGUUAUCCGGAUUUAUUGGGUUUAAAGGGUGCGUAGGCGGACUGUCAAGUCAGCGGUAAAAUUGAGAGGCUCAACCUCUUCCCGCCGUUGAAACUGGAGGCCUUGAGUGGAUGAGAAGUACGCGGAAUGCGUGGUGUAGCGGUGAAAUGCAUAGAUAUCACGCAGAACUCCGAUUGCGAAGGCAGCAUACCGGCGCCCUACUGACGCUGAGGCACGAAAGCGUGGGUAUCGAACAGG
Molecule: ribosomal RNA, 252 nt
Filed under: uncultured bacterium
Lineage: Bacteria
Description: partial 16S ribosomal RNA
Rfam family: Bacterial small subunit ribosomal RNA
Source: RNAcentral